UCCGGCCCUCAUGGCUUUGUGUCUGGAGCUC
Molecule: non-coding RNA, 31 nt
Filed under: Homo sapiens (human)
Lineage: Eukaryota; Metazoa; Chordata; Mammalia; Primates; Hominidae
Source: RNAcentral